CCUACUGGGGACAUCAUUGAGGCAUCUUGGUCAAUGGGCGAGAGCCUGAACCAGCCAAGUCGCGUGAGGUCUUCCUUCCCUCUUUUUUUUCCCCCUCUUUUUUCUUUUCUCCCAAUCCUUACUUGUCCGGCUGUGAGAGUACCCGAAGAAAAAGCAUCGGCUUACUCCGUGCCAGCAGCCGCUGUAAUACGUCGUAUUCGAUCGUUAUCCGGAUUUUUUGGGUUUAACGGGUGCGCAGGCGGAUUUUUAAGUCAGCGGUCAAAUCGUGGGGCUCAACCCCAUCCAGCCAUUGAAACUGGGGAUCUAGAGUGUGCGAGAGGUAUGCGGAAUGCGUGGUGUAGCGGUGAAAUGCAUAGAUAUCAAGAAGAACCCCGAUUGCGAAGGCAGCAUACAGGUGCACAAAUGACGCUCAGGCACGAAAGCGGGGGUAUCGAACAGGAUUAGAGAAAAGAGGAGUC
This 458-nucleotide ribosomal RNA is filed under the name uncultured bacterium. Its description in RNAcentral is "partial 16S ribosomal RNA". It matches the Rfam family "Bacterial small subunit ribosomal RNA", at positions 338 to 795 of the family's 1533-position model. The record is from RNAcentral.